This 4327-nucleotide long non-coding RNA is filed under the name Mytilus galloprovincialis (Mediterranean mussel). The record is from RNAcentral. Lineage: Eukaryota; Metazoa; Mollusca; Bivalvia; Mytilida; Mytilidae.
GACAAAGGAGGAAAAACCAGUUGCAAGUCAGAUAUAUUCGAUAGUCUUAACGAUGAUGUCCCACUUCGAAAUAAAAGUGAAGUUUGUACAUAUAAUGAUAUCAUUAAAGGACAGUGCAUCAAAUGUAAAAUUGAAAAAGCAUCUACUUUAUUUCUGAAAUGUGGCCAUAGAAUCACGUGUUAUAAGUGUUCUCUUUUAUUUACAAAAUGUCCGUAUUGUGACACCGAUGUAAUCAAUAGAAAAAUAACACUCCUAUGAAGGUUCAAUCACCAACAGCUAACAUUUUUGAUUUCUAGUAUUCAAACGUCUCUCUGGUUUGUAACUAAAUAUUUUUUUCAUGUGGACCAUGUGAUAUUAAAAAGUUUAUAUAAAACCAUGUCGUCCUUGCAAUGAAAAGUAAAAUGGCCAUUUUCUCUAUAUCGAUCACAGAAUUUAUGAAGAAUAGAAAUCUUUUGAACUCGCUUCACAGUCGGGAACUCUAGAUCCAAUACCAGGAAUUGGUAAACUUUAUGUCAAGAAGACAAAUUUGUUUGCGGUGACGAUGUGCUUGAAUAACAAACAUCAGAACACAUCACCAUGAUCACUGUGUAAAAGACAACAUUUUGUCAUUUAAAUGUUAUUUCACCGAUGAAAGGAUUUUAAGUAAAAGCUCAGCCUCAAAUGCGACCUAACUGAUUUAAAAAAAAAUGAAAAUGCAGAGGCAUUUUAUUUGUAAGUAGAGCAUAUCGUGAUGGUGACAAAAAAAAAGGACACUACAUGAAAGGUAAGUGCACUUAAUAUUUAGAAGCAUUAAAAAAUAAACACAAAUAAGAAAGAGAAUUUAAGGGAACUAAAGGUGAGAACGACUCACAUCAGUCGACACAAUAGCAUCUCUCCAAUAAAAUGUUCAGUUGUUAUAAUUAUUCUGCCCAGUAUCUGUCUCUUCUCUUGAAAAGAUAUAUGCGCAUCGGAGAAUAAGCUGUAAGGAUCGACAAUUGUAAUGAUGUCAUAAUACGAAUGAAUAGCUUAACGAAUUAGUGUUUCGAAUUGAAAAAUGUUUGUUCACAAAUCGUAGUAAUUAUUUUACGGGAUACUUAUUCGAUUAUAAAGAGGCAGUCGUAUAAAACUCUAAGGUGAACAUGGUGAAUUUGAGAAGGAGUAGGUUAAUAAAACAUAAAAAAAUAAAACGCCCGAUUUGUCAAACAAUAGAACGAAUGGCAAACAAAUGUCAUGAACGACUUUAUGCAAGCAUAUCGAGAAGAAAAUGAGUGGUUAACGCUAGUAAAAAAAUUAUGAUCUUAACCUCUUAUUUGUAUGACAGUUUUUAAUAGUUAAGUCAUAUUGAAAAUAUUGGGCGAGAAACCCCGAAACGUGACAAUUAUUGGGCAUCCAAAGUUAUUUAAACAUACAUCACUGAAUGCAAACACAACUGAUUCAAAGAUUCAGACACACAUCUAAACAAUCUGACAAAGAUGACAAUAGAAACAGAUCGUAAUUGAUAGUACAUAGUUUAUAGUAAAACAUAAUGUAUACACACUUUCUUAAUAAAGUACAUAUUAAUUAAAACGUGAAUAAGUAAUCAAAAUGAAGGUAACACUAAUUACAUCUCAUUUUUCCGAGUCACUUCAACAUGUUUAAGCAUGACAAGAAUUUAACAACUAAAAAGUACACAAUAAUACAAGGACAAAUAAACUAAAAACUGAAAAAGAAAAAAUAUACCCCAUGUCAGCACGUAAGACCUAUACCUCAAGAUUAUAAGUAGACACUGAAUAUUUAUCUUUGAGGUUCUUUGAACUUUCAGAUGAACUUCAACAAAAAGAAGAGACGCUCUUUGACAAAUCCUAGUCAUCCAUGAUGGUUUAUAAAAGUUAAAGUAGCAAUUGCAAGCUCUUGAAUUUCUCAUGAGCUGAGAAAUGUAUACUAUAUAUGCGGUUCGUGUUGAAUUAUUACUGCUUAGAAGAGUUAAAGUAAUAAUUUCAAGAUUAACAUGUUAUAAGAGUUGUCAUAUCCCGCGCUUUUUCUGUUGUCUUCAUUCUCCAUUAUCUUUUUGUUUGUAAAAGACAAGUUUUUUCUUUCUUGUCGAGAUCUUGUAUGAUUGAACAACAUUAUAAUAUUUUUUUCCUUGAAACUUAAUGGCUUUAUAAUUCGUUGACCAUUCAGUUAUAACAAACAAAAAACACCAGAUACUAGCAGAACACGAACAGCAUUAGUUGAAUAGACACAAAUACGAAUAAACUUCAUAAUGAAGAUGUUUGCAAAACUUAAUCUAGAGGAAAAGAUAACACAAAAGGAUAUAUAGAUGGUCAGAUUGUGAAACAUGUCUUCGGUGAACGAUUGACAAGUGCCAGCAUAUUUUUGUAGAUUUUAUGGGGGCUAACGGGUAUACAUCAUUUUUUUUUUAUAUAGGAUUUCUCUAUCAUGUCUAUAUUUUUCUAUGAAUGAACUUUAUCAUAUACUUGAAUUGAUUUUGUGGAUGACUUUUGUACCAUAUUGAUAAAGUAACAACUUAUAAAGUAAUAAAUAAAAUUUGUAAUAAAGACGAAAAAUGAUUAAUUCUUUUCUAAAAUAUUUUAACCUCCGAGCCUCCUUAAGGUAGAUAAACUGUAAUCGUGAAGAUCAAAUGAAUAGGCUAACAUGGACACUUCUUAUACACUAUUUCGCGAAAGCACAUCAAACCACGUACAUCUACUUACUAAGUAAGAGUAUAUUUGAUAGUUUCUACUUUUAGAUUAAUGAUAAAAUACAUUUGUCUUAUGCUCACUUCAGUACUGAAAUAAAACUUCAGUACUGCACUAAAUAUAAUAAUUUGUAUGCGUUUGUUAUGUUUGUGUUUUUACCAUCGUCAUAAAAAUAUGAAUAUUUUCAAUCAUUUAUUUUCAGCAGAAGGCAAAACAAGGCUAGAAGAGGAUUCUUAAUGUACAAAACGUUUACAAAAAGUUGAAGAAAGAACUGGUGAAAGAUUCCACAAAUGCGUUAUUGUUUAUAGCAAUGCAACUGUUAAUUUUCUGAGUUUGACUAUGACGAAUAUCACUAUUAUAACGUUGUGUUUUCUGUAAUUACCUCUACGUCUUCAAUUUGUGAUAAUAAAACACUCUGUAUAACGGAAUCAAGGAACAUUAUAUGCUUAAAGCUCAAUAAUAAAUAAAAGACAACAAAAGACGUUGACUUUAUGGAACUACUUUUCAUUUUUCUUAUGAACAUGUGUUUUGAUCGUUUCAAACUAUGCUCUUCCUUUUUAACUAUUGACUGUUAUUGUAAUUUUUAUCGUGUCAUACAAAUAUUAGUGUAUUUUAGUAGCUUCGUAUCCUAGUGAGUUUCUCGAUAUUAACAGAAAUAGACGACUUCGUAUUAGAAUCUAUGACAUAUACGUGAUGAUAUUAACAUACCUAUUACCAACUCAUCAUUUCUCAGCAGUAACAUUCCCUCGCGAUCGGCCCUCAGCAUGGCAUUCACAUAUCUUAAGUGUUUUUGGUUUGUGAAUUUUCAUACGAUUCGGACUUCAUAAACAGGGGUGUGAUCCAACAGAGUUGUGAUAAAAAACAACGGAAGUCAACUUUGCUUUUUUUUUUCAUAUAUACAUAUAUAUAUAUUCAUAUUGCACAUUUACACAUCUAAGUGUUCUUAAUCUUCGUAAUCUAAUCAAGAUUGAUUAAUACUUUUGUCCAGUAUGGGUAAGACUAUGGUCGAGUAAGGUUUAGACUUUGGACGAGUAUGGUUCAGAAUUUGGUCGAGUAUGGUUCAGAGUGUGGUUGAGUAUGGUUCAUAUUUUGAUCAAGUAUUGUUCAGAUUUGGUAAAGUAUGGUAAAUACUGGUUCAGAAUGGUUCAGAGUUUGGUCGAUGAUGGUUCAUAUUUUGGUCAAGUGUUGUUCAGAGUUGGGUCGAGUAUUGGUCAGAGUUUUGUUAAGAUUGAUUCAAACUUUUGUCCAGUAUGGGAUAGACUAUGGUCGCGUAUGGUUUAGACUUUGGUCGAGUAUGGUUUAAAAUUUGGUCGAGUAUGGUUCAGAGUGUGGUUGAGUAUGGUUUAUAUUUUGAUCAAGUAUUGUUCAGAUUUUGGUAAAGUAUGGUAAAUACUGGUUCAGAAUGGUUCAGAGUUUGGUCGAGGAUGGUUCAGACUUAAGUCGAGUAUGGUUAUGAGUUUGGUCGUGUGUGGUUUAUACUAUUCUCGAGUAAGAUUCAGAGUUUGAUCGAAUAUAUUUCAGACUUUGGUCGAAAAGGGUUCAAAGUUGGGUCAAUAUAAAAAUGAAGAUGUGGUAUGAUUGGCAUUGAGACAAUUUUCCACAAGUGACAAAAUGGCACAGAAAUCAACAGACUUUGGUCGAGGGUGGUUCAGAAUUUAGUCGAGUAUGGU